This 1107-nucleotide long non-coding RNA is filed under the name Rattus norvegicus (Norway rat). Its description in RNAcentral is "long non-coding RNA NONRATT025090". Lineage: Eukaryota; Metazoa; Chordata; Mammalia; Rodentia; Muridae. The record is from RNAcentral.
UUUUUUUUUUCAGAGCUGGGGACCGAACCCAGGGCCUUGCGCUUGCUAGGCAAGUGCUCUACCACUGAGCUAAAUCCCCAACCCCGUGUUUCUUUUUUUUUAUGAAAUUAUAAGCUGCUUCCAGUGUCUAUAUACUUUUGAUGGCUCUGGUAUUGUAUUGGUCAGAGGAGGCAGGGAAGGGAAUUUUUAUGUAAUGAAAAACCAUCUCCUGUUUCUUACUUCAUGUGUCAUGAUAUUGAAACCAAUUUGCUGGUUUCCUCCCAGGCUUGAAGUUCUGUAUUUUAUCAUAUAGUCAGAACACACUAGCUGUUCACAGUAAAUUCUCUGACCACAAAUUUUGCUUCUCUUUCUUGCUGUGUACUUCCUGUUUUGUCAAAUUUCCAUUUAGGGAAAAGAAUGGGUUUUUAGCGUAAGCAUGUUUGAGCUUCACAUUUAAAACUUCUCCUGAAAUUCACUUGGAAGUCAUCCAGUUAUCUGAGGAAGGGAGGAGGGAAGCACUUUAUUUCUCUAAUAUAGCCAGUUUUUCCAGAAAGCUUCAUUUGGCUUUGUGUCAUGAGACUACUACUAGUAAGAAAUUUUUUGUUGUCAGUGUUCAGUAUGCAACUUGCCAGCCUUUUAGGCUUUCCAUGUCAAACAUGUUUUGAGUUUGUGAAUGAAUUAUGAAUGUUCCUUGUGAAGAAUCUGUGUUGCUUCUAGAUCUGUGUAGACUUCCAUAAACUUGUAAGAACUGCAUUCAGCCACAUUUAUUCCACUUACAAUAGGUACAAGUUACAGUUCAUGGGGUCAUUAGAGUACAAAUGGGCUUCAUUUCCAAUCUGUGAUAUAUUCUGAAUGUGAGUCACAGUGAUUGUGAAGUUCAUUUGCAACUGAAAUAGUGAGUUGCAAACCAAUUAUUUGUCACUUUUUAUCCUUGUGACACCUAGCAAGCUACUACUAACAGUCAGCCAGCAGAACCUAUGUUUGCUGCAAACCAAAUCCUGCUUCCCUGCUCUUGGGAGGCUUGCAGCACUGCUCUCCUACAGUGGUGGGACCAAGAAGUAACCUGGUCGGCUUUAAGUCAAACCUUUUUCUUCUUGGCCCAUCAAUAAAAUAAGAAAAAUACUUUUU